Salvelinus namaycush (lake trout) is the source of this 1277-nucleotide long non-coding RNA. RefSeq lists it as uncharacterized. Lineage: Eukaryota; Metazoa; Chordata; Actinopteri; Salmoniformes; Salmonidae. The transcript is spliced from 2 exons. The record is from RefSeq and is a predicted model, not a curated record.
UGCAUAGUGCUACCCCUCGUCUGUGUAAGUGCUGGGAGUGCACAGUCUAUCCUAUGUGGGAUACGAAACACUGCGAGGUAUGCCUUGCAUAGUAAUGACUGAAAGACAGGUGUAGGGGUAGAGAUGAAUAGUCAAUGUAACAACAGGCACUGAACUGGGAGAAGGGCUGUUGAGCUUUUUAUUCAUAUUCUGUGUCAUCAGCACAUGCUGUACAGUGAAUGUGUAACGAUUUGAAAUGAGCCUCAGGUCUUGGUAGCUGGCAGUGGAGUCCAUGUCUUGAGGGCUGGCUGUUCCGUCAAUGGCUGUGGUCACUGGCCACAUAAGGCUAUGGGGACCAUGUCCAGGUUGGAUCAGUGUCUUUCCACUUGUGUGUGUAGUGUGAAUAGGAUGGUGAUGUUCUCUUUUUAACCUUAUCGCAUCUAUACUUUGCUUACUCUUCUCCUCUCCUCGCUGACUUGACGGGGGAUUGUGAUGCGUGAUGGAGCAGCUGCCUUGGUUCAAUGUGAACAUGUCUCACGGGAUAGUCGCACAAACUUUUCACUCUCGGGGAGACGUAGCACGCCAUGAUGGCUAACAGGGCGUCGAGAUGGUGGUAGUGCGUUAACGGCACAUACAUGGGUCUGGUGAAGAGACUGUCCGUUGGGCCUAUAGUCACAUCGCCACCUUCGGCGCUGUCGGCUCUCACGUUCACACGGUCCAGCUUUUCCUUCUCGUAAUCUGUCAGGGUCCUGUCCUUCAAGAGGAGGCAGUCGUACCAGGCCGCCAUAGCCUUAGUAAGUCUGCGGUUACCUGAGGUGGAUGAAGGAGUUACGAGGGUAGGAUAGGAUAGGGGCUAAGCUUAGGUUGUCCUAAGAGUUUGAUUAGAGAGCGAAGAUAGUUGUAGUUGCUGUCAGAGAGCUAUUCAGAGGUUUGCAAUGUCUCUGUUGAAACCUCUAUAACCAACGUCGUGUUCUUUCUGUGUGUAUGGCUAAUGGACUGAUAUUACCCCCUGACUGUGUGAGGACUGGAGGCUCUAAGUACAUCUCAGCAAAUUGCCUGUCUGUGGUGGGAUGCUGCCUAUACCCCUUCUUCAAGAAUGAGUUUCUUAACACUGUCUACCACUGUCCUAGCUGCAAUGUUGCUCUGGUUGUAAUAAAGAAGUGACGAUUACCGCUAAUAUGAACCGGACACUGUAUGGGUUCUCAUCGCCGUACACACCUAACAUUUGACAUGUGCCUAUUUACAAUGUAUGACUUUCUUUGAACAUGUGUCAAUAAAAACUCACCAGACUCUCAGUA